CCAAACUUGGUCAUUUAGAGGAAGUAAAAGUCGUAACAAGGUUUCCGUAGGUGAACCUGCGGAAGGAUCAUUACUGAAUUAAUGAUGAGGUUGUAGCUGGCCCGCUGGGCAUGUGCACGCCUUGUUCAUCCAAAUUCUUAAACCUCUGUGCACCUUUCAUGGAAUAACAGUGUCUGUUCUCUGCCCCCCAAAGGGCAAGUGCAGUGCAGUUGUUCUGUGACUUUUGUAAAAACGCUUCAGUUUAGAAUGUCUCUAUUGCGCAUGACGCAUUUAAAUACAACUUUUAGCAACGGAUCUCUUGGCUCUCGCAUCGAUGAAGAACGCAGC
This 327-nucleotide unclassified non-coding RNA is filed under the name uncultured fungus. RNAcentral's name for it is "partial contains small subunit ribosomal RNA, internal transcribed spacer 1, and 5.8S ribosomal RNA". The stretch from base 1 to 73 matches the Rfam family "Eukaryotic small subunit ribosomal RNA", at positions 1759 to 1831 of the family's 1831-position model. Lineage: Eukaryota; Fungi. The record is from RNAcentral.